UAUGCCUAAAUUUACCAAUAGGAAAAGGAUUUGAUAAAGUUGGAUGCAAGAAAUUAUUAAUUAUUUGAUAUCUCCUUUAAAAGAACUAAAAAGAAAACUAAAAGAAAAGAGAGGAAAGCUUGUGAAUUGCCUACUUUCCCCAUUACGGGAUCCUUAAUUGGGGCUAUGCCCAACAAUCCAUGUAAAAGAAAAGUUAUUAAAGUCCAAAAAGCAAGAUUUAGGUCCUAAACCACAAUUUAUGUGGGGGUUUACCACUUCAACAUGAUCCCUGAUUUUAUUUGCAGUUAGGGAACAACUCAUAAACACUCCUACAAAAGACCCUACAACACUUGAAAACAAUAGGUAAUAUGUUAUUAGUCCUUGUCUUUAGGUAAAAUUUGAAAUUUAGUUUCUAUACUUAAAAAAGUUAAAAAUUAAGUCCUUAUACUUUUGUGAUUUAAAAAUCUCAGUAUUAGUAUUUUUCAUCAAAAUUUACCAACUUGACAUGUUGAUUAGAUUACUCUCGUGUAACAUUACAUAUGUUAAGUUAAUAAAUCUGACAAAAAUUACUAACAAUAAUAAUAGUCGGACUAUAAUUUUCAACUUAAAAUAGUAGGAGAGGAUUUUUAACUUCAAAAAUAUAAGAAUGGUUUGUAACAUAUGGAAAGGGAAUCUGAAAAGGUGAGGGGUUAGGCAUGAUGAGAGAGGGAGGGAGAGUAAUACAAGGGAACAUAUAAACAAUUCAGCAAUAUAUCAGCCUCGAGUGCACUCUUUCAAGGUGCUUAAUUAUAUAUUUUAAUGGAUCAUCAAUUGAACUCAGCUAUUCUAUUUAUAUUUCAUCACGUGAAUAAUAAAUUUUAGAGGUGGACGUAGGUGUAAAAGAGAUGUAUGAGACACAGAAGGAUUAC
Molecule: long non-coding RNA, 887 nt
Filed under: Gossypium raimondii (Peruvian cotton)
Lineage: Eukaryota; Viridiplantae; Streptophyta; Magnoliopsida; Malvales; Malvaceae
Description: long non-coding RNA (GRAI_LNC000051)
Source: RNAcentral